GAUGAACGCUGGCGGCGUGCCUAAUACAUGCAAGUCGAGCGAACAGACGAGGAGCUUACUCCUCUGACGUUAGCGACGGACGGGUGAGUAACACGUGGAUAACCUACCUAUAAGACUGGGAUAACUUCGGGAAACCGGAGCUAAUACCGGAUAACAUGUUGAACCGCAUGGUUCAACAGUGAAAGACGGUCUUGCUGUCACUUAUAGAUGGAUCCGCGUCGCAUUAGCUAGUUGGUAAGGUAACGGCUUACCAAGGCAACGAUGCGUAGCCGACCUGAGAGGGUGAUCGGCCACACUGGAACUGAGACACGGUCCAGACUCCUACGGGAGGCAGCAGUAGGGAAUCUUCCGCAAUGGGCGAAAGCCUGACGGAGCAACGCCGCGUGAGUGAAGAAGGUCUUCGGAUCGUAAAACUCUGUUAUUAGGGAAGAACAAAUGUGUAAGUAUCUAUGCACGUCUUGACGGUACCUAAUCAGAAAGCCACGGCUAACUACGUG
This 497-nucleotide ribosomal RNA is filed under the name uncultured bacterium. RNAcentral describes it as "partial 16S ribosomal RNA". It matches the Rfam family "Bacterial small subunit ribosomal RNA", at positions 28 to 507 of the family's 1533-position model. The record is from RNAcentral.